ACAAUGGCGUCGGUAAAGACGUGAUGUUGACUGCUGUAAACAGACGUGUAUUAAGAUUUACGAUUUAAACAGGUUGGUAAUAUGUUUAGGUGUCUGUUUUGUGUGAAUAUUUUGAGAGCCUUACACAUGAUACACACUCAUCUGCAAAGUCCCAAACCUCGCACAGUUUAUCACGAACCCUUGUACAUUGCUCCUGAGGUUGGGUUUGACUAUUCUGAGGCUAUAUGACUUGCAUAAGGAGAUUGUGGUGUGGGUUCUUGCUUGAAGACUCAGGGUAAAUAAAAAAUCUUUUCAUACAAUUAAAGUGAUGUCAGUAAGUACUUUGCAAUUAAUUUUUGUCUUCCCUCAAGGUCUCCUUAAGAACGAAAAAAGACACAGAAAUGUAUAGAGCUUAUCUUGGGCAUCUGUACUCUCAGUUCAAUGCAAAUAUAGCAAGUUAACAAGUUGGUUAUUUGUUUGAGAGAUUUGUUUGAUUACAGUUGGAGCAAAACUGUGCAGAGCUGCGGUACUCCAAGAAUUGACUUUGACACCUAUGCCUUAAUAGAACGGGGUUGGACCCCAUUUGCCUUCAGAACUGCCAUAAUUCUUCGUGGCAUAGAUUC
This 602-nucleotide long non-coding RNA is filed under the name Danio rerio (zebrafish). RNAcentral's name for it is "si:ch211-160m12.2 (si:ch211-160m12.2)". Lineage: Eukaryota; Metazoa; Chordata; Actinopteri; Cypriniformes; Danionidae. The record is from RNAcentral.